RNAcentral lists this ribosomal RNA (1069 nucleotides) under fungal endophyte sp. D2-10B19-2. RNAcentral describes it as "eukaryotic LSU rRNA". The stretch from base 729 to 882 matches the Rfam family "5.8S ribosomal RNA". Lineage: Eukaryota; Fungi. The record is from RNAcentral.
AAAUGCGCCUACGCAAGUAGGGACGCCCAGCGACUGAAAAUAAUUGGGAUACGCAAGUCGAAGCCCCCCUCGGGAGGCUGAGGCGACACUUUCGAAUUGCGGGGACGCCCUGAGAGCUCUACCUACUAAGCCAAGAGGGAAACUUCUUGGUGGCCCAUGUUAACAGCAUGGGGUACAGUAAAAAGGGUAGAGAUUGGGCAAUCCGCAGCCAAGCUCCUACAGUCCUUACGGAUAUGGAGAAGGUUCACAGACUAAGUGGAAGUGGGUGUGCGUCGCUCGUCGAUGCAUGCUUAAGAUAUAGUCGGGCCCUCGCUGAAAGGCAAGGGGUAAGUCACUGCAACACAUCACUCGCGGGAAGAAUUUGGAAUCAAUCAACUAGCUACAGCCUGUCGACAGCCUGGCCCAGCCUGACUUGGUUGAUCGAAAAAACUUCCCGCUAGUAUGUGGAAAAUUGAACCGUUCCGUAGGUGAACNUGCGGAAGGAUCAUUACUGAAAAUGUAAUAACCCUCAAGUUUUGGAAGGGGGAGCCGUCAAAAGCUCCCCUGGUACAUGCCUCACACCCUUGUGUAUCUACCAUGUUGCUUUGGCGGGCCGACCCGGUUUCGACCCGGGCGGCCGGCGCCCCCAGCCUAGUCUUCUGGGCCAGGACGCCCGGCUAAGUGCCCGCCAGUAUACAAAACUCCAGCGAUUAUUUUGUGUAGUCCUGAGAAUUUAUUCAAUAAAUUAAAACUUUCAACAACGGAUCUCUUGGUUCUGGCAUCGAUGAAGAACGCAGCGAAAUGCGAUAAGUAAUGUGAAUUGCAGAAUUCAGUGAAUCAUCGAAUCUUUGAACGCACAUUGCGCCCUCUGGCAUUCCGGAGGGCAUGCCUGUUCGAGCGUCAUUUCAACCCUCAAGCUCUGCUUGGUAUUGGGCGACGUCUGCUGUCAGACGCGCCUGGAAGACCUCGGCGACGGCAUUCCAGCCUCGAGCGUAGUAGUAAAAUAUCUCGCUUUGGAGGAUGGGGUGACGGCUUGCCGGACAACCGACCUCUGGUACAUUUUUUCCAAGGUUGACCUCGGAUCAGGUAG